This 54-nucleotide ribosomal RNA is filed under the name Anthoxanthum nitens. Its description in RNAcentral is "partial 26S ribosomal RNA". The record is from RNAcentral. RNAcentral also lists the same sequence under 6 other names. Lineage: Eukaryota; Viridiplantae; Streptophyta; Magnoliopsida; Poales; Poaceae.
GCGACCCCAGGUCAGGCGGGACUACCCGCUGAAUUUAAGCAUAUAAAUAAGCGG